RNAcentral lists this ribosomal RNA (490 nucleotides) under uncultured bacterium. Its description in RNAcentral is "bacterial SSU rRNA". It matches the Rfam family "Bacterial small subunit ribosomal RNA", at positions 29 to 512 of the family's 1533-position model. The record is from RNAcentral.
AUUGAACGCUGGCGGCGUGCUUAACACAUGCAAGUCGAUCGGUAACAGGUGUAGCAAUACAUGCUGACGAGAGGCGGACGGGUGAGUAAUGCUUGGGAAUCUGCCUAUUAGUGGGGGACAACCCGGGGAAACUCGGGCUAAUACCGCAUACGCUCUACGGAGGAAAGCCGGGGACCGCAAGGCCUGGCGCUAAUAGAUGAGCCCAAGUCGGAUUAGCUAGUUGGUAGGGUAACGGCCUACCAAGGCGACAAUCCGUAGCUGGUCUGAGAGGACGACCAGCCACACCGGAACUGAGACACGGUCCGGACUCCUACGGGAGGCAGCAGUGGGGAAUAUUGGACAAUGGGGGCAACCCUGAUCCAGCGACGCCGCGUGGGUGAAGAAGGCCUGCGGGUUGUAAAGCCCUUUCGGUGGGAAGAAAAGUCUCGACCUAAUACGUCGGGACCUUGACGUAACCCACUAAAGAAGCACCGGCUAACUCUGUGCCAGC